RNAcentral lists this ribosomal RNA (253 nucleotides) under uncultured bacterium. RNAcentral's name for it is "partial 16S ribosomal RNA". It matches the Rfam family "Bacterial small subunit ribosomal RNA", at positions 524 to 776 of the family's 1533-position model. The record is from RNAcentral.
GACGGAAGGUGCAAGCGUUGCUCGGAAUCACUGGGCGUAAAGGGUGCGUAGGCGGCCGUGCAAGUCUGGCGUGGAAGCCCCGGGCUCAGCCCGGGAAGUGCGCUCGAAACUGCGCGGCCCGAGUGCCGGAGGGGAGAGUGGAAUUCCUGGUGUAGCGGUGAAAUGCGUAGAUAUCAGGAGGAAUACCGGUGGCGAAAGCGACUCUCUGGACGGCAACUGACGCUGAGGCACGAAAGCGUGGGGAGCAAACAGG